CCCUUAGACGUUCUGGGCCGCACGCGCGCUACACUGACCAGUGCAACAAGCAUCCGUCCUUGGCCGACAUGCCCGGGCAAUCUUUGAACGCUGGUCGUGAUGGGGAUAGACUUUUGCAAUUUUUGGUCUUCAACGAGGAAUUCCUAGUAAACGCAAGUCAUCAACUUGCAUUGAUUACGUCCCUGCCCUUUGUACACACCGCCCGUCGCACCUACCGAUUGAAUGGUCCGGUGAAGCCUCCGGAUUGGCGCGCACCUCGGUGCCGCCGAGAAGUUGGCUAAACCUUACCAUUUAGAGGAAGGUGAAGUCGUANCA
Molecule: ribosomal RNA, 315 nt
Filed under: uncultured eukaryote
Lineage: Eukaryota
Description: partial 18S ribosomal RNA
Rfam family: Eukaryotic small subunit ribosomal RNA
Source: RNAcentral